AGAGAAGAAGAGUGAGGCUGAGUCUUUAACACCUUGAUUUCCUCCCAGCAAGGUUGUCCAGAGCUGGCAGUGCUGCCAUCACAAAGUCAAUGUCCAUCCCGGGCAGCCCACUCUACCCAACUCCAGUAGCUGCACCCUAUCUUCGCUUCAAGCCUGGGAAUGGUAACAGUCUGAUGCAACUAAGACUCAGAGGUUAAAGAGGUGGGCUAGAGAAGGAGGGAAAGAAAACAUCUGUAAGGCACAGAAGAUGUAAAGUACUGUGCUGGAUGGACUUCAUCUGUCCCCUUACAGCAUCUUCAGUUUAGUGGUAUAAAGCCACCCCGUCGUCGGUGUAAUUCAGACGAGCAUGCUUCAUCUGGACGGUCUGUGCGCUGCACCAUUGUUCCCAGAGUCUGUCACGCACAAUCACUGGCUUCAGCCUGUGGCCCUCUAAAUGAAAGGAGCAGAUUUGUGGCAGCUUUCCAACCCGCAUUCCUUUUAAUUAGUCAACUUGUGGCCCAAUGUUAUAAUAGAUAAGUAACCUCUUAAUAUUCAUGUAAUUAAUUGAUUUUUUUUCAUUCAGUUAUAAACCUUUGCAUGCGGGGAGAAAGCUUUUUCCUAUAUGGGUUCUGGUUUAUGAAAUAAGCAUGUUACUAUUACAAAGAACAUUGGAGGCCAUGUUUCAGUGAUUCUCCAUGAGGACAGCUCCAGAAACUGCAGUGAGCCCGUACCUAUAUUUUAAGCAUAUUGUUUUUGCGUUUAAAAUAGCAACUGAAAUCUUUCUUAUGUAUACAUUUGAUAUAUGCAAGAUGAGUAACCUUGACAACUUCAUCUGGGCUGAGAAGCCUCCCUUCCAUUUUAACUGAUAAACUAGUUUACCAUCGGAAGAUGGAAAGCUUACACUUGUUUAAGAUCCCUUGUAAAAAGCAAGGCUGACAUUUAAAGUGGCCAACAGUUCUCAAAGUACUAGGAAGUCUGUCUGCUCUAGAUCUGGAAUAAGUCAAUAAUUAAACUGCUGAUGCUGUUAGCUAUCAGCACAUGAUGAACCCUUAAAAAGAUAGGUUGCUUCCUAUAAAUAUUAAUAAUGUCCAUUGGUAACAGGAAUAAGAAUGGCUUUUAAAGCUCAAUGUUUAAGUUCUUUCACCUAAGUUUCUCAGAUAAAGGCAGUAAUGACAUUUUUACUUCUGUUAGAGCCUCGUGGACAAAAUACACGUGGGUGAAAUACAAAUGUACCCCAUACUCUUGGUAUCACUUCUCAUGCAGUUUAUGAGACAUUUACAAAGUCACUUCAAUGAUUCAUUCAUUUGUUCAUACAGAUACUAACGUACCUACUAUGUGACAAGCGCUGGAUCCCAGCUAUAAAGAUGAUGUGAAGAUUACUGAAGAUACCAACUCUGCUCGCAAAAGCUCACAGUUGAGCAGGGGAGGCAGACAGGUAACUAUCAGUUGCAUAAGUUCCUGCACCGGGUAGAGGUACAUGAUUUAAGAGCCUGGCUUCAAAUCCUGGCUCCUCUUGUGUGAGCUGUAUCACUUGGCUAAAUAUAUUAGCCUCUCCAUGCCUUUGUUUCCUUACCUGCAAAAUGGGAAAUUCAUAGCACCUAUUUCACAGGACAACUAGAGAAUCAUAUGAGAUAAGGUCUAAAAAGUACUUUGCAGGUGCUGGUUUUAUAAAUUUUGGUCCGGGAAGAUCCCACAUGCCACAGAGCAACUGAGCCUGUGUGCCACAACUGCUGAGCCUGUG
Delphinapterus leucas (beluga whale) is the source of this 1720-nucleotide non-coding RNA. The record is from RefSeq and is a predicted model, not a curated record. Lineage: Eukaryota; Metazoa; Chordata; Mammalia; Artiodactyla; Monodontidae.